RNAcentral lists this ribosomal RNA (463 nucleotides) under uncultured bacterium. Its description in RNAcentral is "partial 16S ribosomal RNA". It matches the Rfam family "Bacterial small subunit ribosomal RNA", at positions 28 to 507 of the family's 1533-position model. The record is from RNAcentral.
GAUGAACGCUGACAGAAUGCUUAACACAUGCAAGUCGAUGGGGAAGUGGUGCUUGCACCAUGGUAACCAUGGCGGACGGGUGAGUAACGCGUAAGGAACUUGCCUGCGGGACUGGGAUAACAGCAGGAAACUGCUGUUAAUAUCGGAUAAGGUCAUUAAGCUGCAUAGCUUAGUGAUGAAAGGGGACGCCUGCGGAGAGCCUUGCGUCCUAUUAGCUAGUUGGAGGGGUAACGGCCCACCAAGGCGAAGAUAGGUAGCCGGCCUGAGAGGGUGGACGGCCACAAGGGGACUGAGAUACGGCCGUUACGCAUACGGGAGGCAGGAGUGGGGAAUAUUGGACAAUGGGGGCAACCCUGAUCCAGCAAUUCGGUGUGCACGAAGACGGUUUUCGGAGUGUAAAGUGCUUUCAGCAGGGAAGAAGGAAGUGACGGUACCAGCAGAAGAAGCGACGGCUAAAUACGUG